Malus domestica (apple) is the source of this 1085-nucleotide non-coding RNA. The record is from RefSeq and is a predicted model, not a curated record. NCBI's taxonomy places the organism in Eukaryota, Viridiplantae, Streptophyta, Magnoliopsida, Rosales, Rosaceae.
CAGAAAACAGUAUCAGAUCUCAAAAACUCAAAAGCCUUCUCUCCAUUUUCCUCUGACCCCAUUUUUCUCCGCUCUCUCUCUCUCUUCUUCAUUGCUCCAGAAAAUGCAAAAACCUUCUCCCUUCCAUUUAGUUUCUUUUUCGCAUUUCUCUCGGAUCCCAUGUAUGGUGGAGCAACACAGGCAUGUCUGAUUCCUCUAUAAUAGUGCUCUGGUCCGCAACACCGAGACCCAAACGAACAGAUCUAAAACAGUUCGUCCAAAAAUCCUCCCUUUGCAGUUUCUCACAGAUUGAUGCAUCCGUAGCCUUCCAUAACCCAACAACGCGCACCUCCGUGAGUACCCCGCCGUGGUGGAAAAUCGGAAAAACGGAAACCCAAAGUGGGAAGAUCCCUAAUGGUUUCAAAUCCGAGACAACCACACAAGAACACCCCGGAGUCAGCAGCUCAGCUCAACCAAGGAUCUGCCAAUGUUGAGCGUACAACCGAGAGACAACAACCGUGAGCUUCCGGUCUAGUGGUUCCUGAAGGCAGCAUAAAUGAAGAAUGUCUCGGCUCUGCAAAUAAAUAAGGGAUAUACGGAUCAAUGAUAGAGCCAAGGAAAUAGAAGGGUAGACAAAUAUCAGCUUCAAUAAACAAACAGCACAAGCUUCCAAGAGCCCAGAUCGGUAAAUCUGGGAGGUAAAAUUUCAUAUCCUUGCAAGUGGAAUUGUUGUAGAUCUGGUAAUAAUAGCUGUACUCAGUUCUGUGGUGUAUGGAUCUAUGAUAUAAUUGUGCUUCCUCCAUGCAUCGCAAAACUGAGCUGCAGAAAAUUAAUUGCUCUAAAUUCUGUUUCUGUGCUGGAUCUGCAACAAUCUCCCCCAAACUUGAAUCUGUGAAUGACUUUUUAUGUUGACUGCUUUAAAUUUCCUGCCUAGUGUAGAUGUGGUUGAUGUGAACGUUAGACUUGCUGCUGGGUGCAGGAUUCCAGCAUAGGACACGCUUUAUUUUCCACGUUCGCAACCUGCAAUUAACCAAUAUGCGUAAAAAAAUUAAAAUAAAAUCAAAUAAACUGGGUAAAUAAAAUCAAUAUGCAAUCUUCCAUUUUUU